This 863-nucleotide ribosomal RNA is filed under the name Lactiplantibacillus plantarum. Its description in RNAcentral is "bacterial SSU rRNA". It matches the Rfam family "Bacterial small subunit ribosomal RNA", at positions 63 to 899 of the family's 1533-position model. Lineage: Bacteria; Bacillati; Bacillota; Bacilli; Lactobacillales; Lactobacillaceae. The record is from RNAcentral.
CGAACUCUGGUAUUGAUUGGUGCUUGCAUCAUGAUUUACAUUUGAGUGAGUGGCGAACUGGUGAGUAACACGUGGGAAACCUGCCCAGAAGCGGGGGAUAACACCUGGAAACAGAUGCUAAUACCGCAUAACAACUUGGACCGCAUGGUCCGAGUUUGAAAGAUGGCUUCGGCUAUCACUUUUGGAUGGUCCCGCGGCGUAUUAGCUAGAUGGUGGGGUAACGGCUCACCAUGGCAAUGAUACGUAGCCGACCUGAGAGGGUAAUCGGCCACAUUGGGACUGAGACACGGCCCAAACUCCUACGGGAGGCAGCAGUAGGGAAUCUUCCACAAUGGACGAAAGUCUGAUGGAGCAACGCCGCGUGAGUGAAGAAGGGUUUCGGCUCGUAAAACUCUGUUGUUAAAGAAGAACAUAUCUGAGAGUAACUGUUCAGGUAUUGACGGUAUUUAACCAGAAAGCCACGGCUAACUACGUGCCAGCAGCCGCGGUAAUACGUAGGUGGCAAGCGUUGUCCGGAUUUAUUGGGCGUAAAGCGAGCGCAGGCGGUUUUUUAAGUCUGAUGUGAAAGCCUUCGGCUCAACCGAAGAAGUGCAUCGGAAACUGGGAAACUUGAGUGCAGAAGAGGACAGUGGAACUCCAUGUGUAGCGGUGAAAUGCGUAGAUAUAUGGAAGAACACCAGUGGCGAAAGGCGGCUGUCUGGUCUGUAACUGACGCUGAGGCUCGAAAGUAUGGGUAGCAACAGAUUAGAUACCCUGGUAGUCCAUACCGUAACGAUGAUGCUAGUGUUGGAGGGUUUCCGCCCUCAGUGCUGCAGCUACGCAAUAAGCAUCCGCCUGGGGGAGUACGGCCCGCAAGGCUGAAA